CGUGUAGGCGGUUUGACAAGCGGGAUGUGAAAGCCCUCGGCUUAACCGGGGAAGUGCAUUCCGAACUGUUAGACUUGAGUCCGGGAGAGGGUGGUAGAAUUCCUGGUGGAACGGUGAAAUGUGUAGAUAUCAGGAGGAAUACCCGUGGCGAAGGCGGCCACCUGGCCCGGUACUGACGCUGAAAUGCGAAAGCGUGGGGAGCAAACA
Molecule: ribosomal RNA, 207 nt
Filed under: uncultured bacterium
Lineage: Bacteria
Description: partial 16S ribosomal RNA
Rfam family: Bacterial small subunit ribosomal RNA
Source: RNAcentral